GGAAAUGGUCACUAUCUUUGAUUUAUUCCAUAUAUCAUAUAUGUGUCAUUUACUUAAUUUGGGGACUGGGGUUAAAACGUGGCUACUACAGCAAUUUUAUCUUAAACUAAGUAAGCAGCUCCUUGGAAGGUAAGAUAGACCGAUCAACGUACGAUUAAGUAUAGGGUAAAUUGCAGGCCACACCCGUUGACCAUGUUUUAUUUCCAUGGAUUGUCAAAGUCAAAUGUGGUUUUCACCAUUUGUCUUUUCGCCUGCAAAAUGACGCUUCUGCCCUUGCGCUUCUCUCUUAGCAACUGUUGAAAUGUACGGUUUAGUUUAGCAGGUUUAGUUACGUACACUGUUCCGGUUCAGUUGAAGAUUUUUUGUUCACGUUGACGCGAUCGGUUCCGUUACAAGUGAGAUUAUUCCGAAGUGACAUCAACAUUUAAUGCCCCCAAAAAGUUUAGAUGUGACUAUUGUCACAAUUAAUGCAAAAUCAUCAUUACAUCAAAUAAUAUUAAAAAAAUU
Molecule: small RNA, 507 nt
Filed under: Arabidopsis thaliana (thale cress)
Lineage: Eukaryota; Viridiplantae; Streptophyta; Magnoliopsida; Brassicales; Brassicaceae
Description: ATSL280390
Source: RNAcentral